Xyrauchen texanus (razorback sucker) is the source of this 553-nucleotide long non-coding RNA. RefSeq lists it as uncharacterized. The transcript has 3 exons. NCBI's taxonomy places the organism in Eukaryota, Metazoa, Chordata, Actinopteri, Cypriniformes, Catostomidae. The record is from RefSeq and is a predicted model, not a curated record.
CUAGCAAUAUGUUCUCAAUGUUGUUCCUUUGCAAACUUUGAUACAGAGCUUUGCAUUCUAGUGGUCAGAAUACAGAUGUAAUUGUGCUAAAACUUGCAGGAUGUAGGCUGGAAAUCGUUCUUGGCAUUGGAGUAUGGCAUAGCAGCUUUUUGCGCAGUUGUAUUUCCUGUCACUGUGGGCUGCAGGGCACAGUAAUACAAAGCAGAAUCUUCCACUUGUGUAGAAGAGAUGCUAAGAUCCAUGCGUUUAAGUCCUCGAUCAGCAACAGCGGACAGGCGAAGAGUGGGCUCUGACUGAGGGUUGCUCUCGACUUUCAAGAAGGAAUGCAUAUUGCUAUGCAAACUGGUCUAACGGCAUCAUUAACUGGUUUUAUUACACGGCUCUCUGGAAUACUCUAUUCUGCUUGGUCAAUGGCACUGUCCAGUUGUCAGAUUAUUCUGAAACAACCGCACAUCCAGGAAUUAAGAGGUAUCAGACUGCUCAUCCAGGUUCUGCGAGUCAUCUCUUGUUUCUUGGAUCACUGUGCGAUCUCUACAAGUGAGCUAAUAAAAUA